CUACCCUAGAGUCCGGAAUAACCUGCCGAAAGGCGGGCUAAUACGGGAUAGAGCGAUGGAACUCAUUAAGAGUUUUUCGGGAAAGGGAGCUCGCAAGAGCCCUCGCUUUAGGAUGAGCCUGCGUCUCAUUAGCUAGUUGGUAGGGUAAUGGCCUACCAAGGCGAUGAUGGGUAGCUGGUCUGAGAGGAUGAUCAGCCACACUGGAACUGAAACACGGUCCAG
This 222-nucleotide ribosomal RNA is filed under the name uncultured bacterium. RNAcentral describes it as "partial 16S ribosomal RNA". It matches the Rfam family "Bacterial small subunit ribosomal RNA", at positions 126 to 334 of the family's 1533-position model. The record is from RNAcentral.